CUAAUACCAAAUGUGUUCACUCCUUUUAAGGGGAGUGAGGAAAGGAAGCUUCGGCCUCCGCAUUGAGAUGGGCCCGCGGCCCAUUAGCUUGUUGGUGAGGUAACGGCUCACCAAGGCUUCGAUGGGUAGCUGGUCUGAGAGGACGAUCAGCCACACUGGGACUGAGACACGGCCCAGACUCCUACGGGAGGCAGCAGUGGGGAAUCUUGCACAAUGCGCGAAAGCGUGAUGCAGCAACGCCGCGUGGGGGAAGACGGCCUUCGGGUUGUAAACCCCUUUCAGUUGGGACGAAGCUUCGUCGGUGAAUAGCCGGUUGGAGUGACGAUACCUUCAGAAGAAGCCCCGGCUAACUACGUG
Molecule: ribosomal RNA, 357 nt
Filed under: uncultured bacterium
Lineage: Bacteria
Description: bacterial SSU rRNA
Rfam family: Bacterial small subunit ribosomal RNA
Source: RNAcentral